AUUUAUAUAGUUUAAAAAAACAUUACAUUUUCAAUGUAAAAUAGAGUAAAAACUCUAUAAAUA
RNAcentral lists this transfer RNA (63 nucleotides) under Anaplecta sp. 5 ZQW-2020. RNAcentral's name for it is "tRNA-Glu". It matches the Rfam family "tRNA". From Rfam's summary of the family: Transfer RNA (tRNA) molecules are approximately 80 nucleotides in length. Their secondary structure includes four short double-helical elements and three loops (D, anti-codon, and T loops). Lineage: Eukaryota; Metazoa; Arthropoda; Insecta; Blattodea; Anaplectidae. The record is from RNAcentral.